Molecule: non-coding RNA, 83 nt
Organism: Mycena rebaudengoi
Lineage: Eukaryota; Fungi; Basidiomycota; Agaricomycetes; Agaricales; Mycenaceae
Source: the annotation of a GenBank genome assembly
GACCUGUUGGCGGAGUGGUCCGCGCCCAUCAAGAAUUCUGUUUGGUUAAAUGGGAUUCCCUUGUUCGACUCAAGGCCAGGUCA